Molecule: unclassified non-coding RNA, 538 nt
Filed under: Bombus terrestris (buff-tailed bumblebee)
Lineage: Eukaryota; Metazoa; Arthropoda; Insecta; Hymenoptera; Apidae
Description: misc RNA ENSBTSG00005020425.1
Source: RNAcentral
UAAGCGAUCCGAUUUAUCGAUCGCGAUCGAACCGGUCCUGGGAGCAGGCUCUUCCAGCGGAUCGAAACGACAACUUCCCUCGACCAAGGCGAUCCACGCGUGGGAAAAGUAUGAAAUAUUCGGUUGAUUGAAAAGUUUGUUCCACGGCAUCAGGUAGAAAGGACUGUUCGAACACUUGUAGACGUCGUUUGACGUAGGCCGAGUGCCCAUCAGACAGAAACCACCCCCGCAUAGGAUUCUCAAUCUGCCCAAAGCGAGGAAGUUUCACGGGCAGUGCGGAAAAAAUCCCUGGUCCGUCCGCCUCUACGGCCGCAAUUUAUCGCCGUAAUGAAAGUUGCCGGGACGAAGGUGUCCGUAGGGAAGGGGAUUCUCCGCGAAGAGGGUGAAAAAGGAAGAAACGGCUACCGGUCAUCUGCAUGAUGAGUAAAUAGGUUCGCAUUACUCGCGCGAACACGGCAGUUUAUACCGGGUGAUCGCGGCAAAUGAGCCGGGACACGGUGCGCGACAUCUAUCGCGAUUAAAGACGCGCGCUGUUCCU